Molecule: ribosomal RNA, 291 nt
Filed under: uncultured microorganism
Description: partial 16S ribosomal RNA
Rfam family: Bacterial small subunit ribosomal RNA
Source: RNAcentral
GUGCCAGCAGCCGCGGUAAUACGGAGGGAGCUAGCGUUGUUCGGAAUUACUGGGCGUAAAGCGCGCGUAGGCGGCUUUGUAAGUUAGAGGUGAAAGCCCGGGGCUCAACUCCGGAACUGCCUUUAAGACUGCAUCGCUUGAAUCCAGGAGAGGUGAGUGGAAUUCCGAGUGUAGAGGUGAAAUUCGUAGAUAUUCGGAAGAACACCAGUGGCGAAGGCGGCUCACUGGACUGGUAUUGACGCUGAGUGCGAAAGCGUGGGGAGCAAACAGGAUUAGAUACCCUGAUAGUCA